This 161-nucleotide small nuclear RNA is filed under the name Thalictrum thalictroides. It matches the Rfam family "U1 spliceosomal RNA". Rfam says of the family: U1 is a small nuclear RNA (snRNA) component of the spliceosome (involved in pre-mRNA splicing). Its 5' end forms complementary base pairs with the 5' splice junction, thus defining the 5' donor site of an intron. Lineage: Eukaryota; Viridiplantae; Streptophyta; Magnoliopsida; Ranunculales; Ranunculaceae. The record is from RNAcentral.
AUACUUACCUGGACGGGGUUUAUGGGCGAUCAUGAAGGUCCAUGGCCUAGGUUGGUGACCUCCAUUGCACUCAGGAGGGGCGCCCACCUAAGAUAUCUCCAAGUGGGAUAGUCUACGUCAUAAUUUGUUGCUGAGGGGGUACGCGUUCGCGCGGCCCCUGC